This 349-nucleotide ribosomal RNA is filed under the name uncultured Brevundimonas sp. RNAcentral's name for it is "bacterial SSU rRNA". It matches the Rfam family "Bacterial small subunit ribosomal RNA", at positions 76 to 448 of the family's 1533-position model. The record is from RNAcentral. Lineage: Bacteria; Pseudomonadati; Pseudomonadota; Alphaproteobacteria; Caulobacterales; Caulobacteraceae.
CUCUUCGGAGCUAGUGGCGGACGGGUGAGUAACACGUGGGAACGUGCCUUUAGGUUCGGAAUAAGCCCGGGAAACUGGGUCUAAUACCGGAUGUGCCCUUCGGGGGAAAGAUUUAUCGCCUUUAGAGCGGCCCGCGUCUGAUUAGCUAGUUGGUGGUGUAAUGGACCACCAAGGCGACGAUCAGUAGCUGGUCUGAGAGGAUGACCAGCCACAUUGGGACUGAGACACGGCCCAAACUCCUACGGGAGGCAGCAGUGGGGAAUCUUGCGCAAUGGGCGAAAGCCUGACGCAGCCAUGCCGCGUGUAUGAUGAAGGUCUUAGGAUUGUAAAAUACUUUCACCGGUGAAGA